RNAcentral lists this ribosomal RNA (223 nucleotides) under uncultured eukaryote. RNAcentral's name for it is "partial 18S ribosomal RNA". It matches the Rfam family "Eukaryotic small subunit ribosomal RNA", at positions 1208 to 1456 of the family's 1831-position model. The record is from RNAcentral.
GAAAAACUUACCAGGACAAGACAUAAGAAGGAUUGACAGACUGAUCGCUCUUUCUUGAUUUUAUGGGUGGUGGUGCAUGGCCGUUCUUAGUUCGUGGAGUAAUUUGUCUGGUUAAUUCCGUUAACGAACGAGACCUUAACUUACUAAUUGGGAUGUAUAUUAAAUAUAUUAUCCCUCUUAGAAGGACCAUGUGUACAUAACACAAGGAAGCGUGAGGCAAUAA